Molecule: long non-coding RNA, 1646 nt
Organism: Etheostoma spectabile (orangethroat darter)
Lineage: Eukaryota; Metazoa; Chordata; Actinopteri; Perciformes; Percidae
Exons: 2
Source: RefSeq, a predicted model, not a curated record
UUACUAAUGUGUGGGUAAGUGUUAAGUCCUUGAUGUUCUUACCUUUUGGACAAACCUUUGACCUUUUCAUGGUUAUAUCUGAACUGGUUACAGUGUAUAUCUGUGCUUUGUGUCUAUCUAACAGUGUCAGUCUCUUACAGAUCGUCAGUAGCCUUCUGCCACAGUGCCGUUCUUCGUAUCCUCCCCACAGCUGAGGGUUUGAGCCUCCUCAGCGCCUUUCAUAGCAGCAGUGUCAACCCUCCUGGAACCCUGACCCUCAGUCUGCCCACCAUGAGUGCCUCCUGUCAUGCUUCCUCAGUUGCAUCUGUGUGGAACAAAACACCUGACCUGUGACACUGUUGACCCAGAAACUUGCCCAACAUUCUGUUCAGGUGAGCAAGGUUGAGUGUUCCAUGAUGCCUCUACAGGGAGUGCCUGGCUCACAUUUACCUUGCUUUGGAGAAGCAGGAAUGAUGCUGUGACAUUUGCUACCGCCGGUAGAGCCCCAUGAGCCUACUGACACAGCCAUUGCCAGAACUGCAUUACCUAUGUAUCCACCAUUCAGUUUGGGAAUUUGGAAUAUUAAAGAUCAAAUUAAUCAAAUCAUUUUCAGUAUGACCCACAGUCAUCACACACUUUACUGUGUGUGUCAGCGUAAACAUUUGUGUGUACCAUAAACAGUAUGGCACCACAUGUACCACAAGUAUGUUAACCAUUUGUGUGCAUUUCAUAAAGCAUGUACAAAUGUAGAGGUUAUAGCUUUCAAUGCUUCAGAAAUUUCUUCUUUUGAACCCAUAUGUAAAGCACUACCCUGCAUUUUCCAUGUUUUUCCUUUUCCAAGUAUUAUUCCUACACAUAAGGCUGCCUCGACAUUGAAAAAUAAGGGAAAACCCUGCAGGAUAAGCACAACCUGAAGCAAUGCAUUCCAAAAAAUGUGUGUGUCACUGUUGGCUUUAUAUCAAAAGCUGCAAAAAGUUGACAGUACAUCAGUAUUCAACAUCCCCUCUUUGUGUAGUUGACAGUGCAUGAAUGUAACUUCAGAGUGACACUUCUUUCAAAGUGAAAAAAGGACUCAUUAUCAAUCCACACAUGCUGAUUCACUUAAUCAACUGCCAUAAGCUGAAGCCAAAAGGGACGUUACUGGUUGAGCUAGAGUUGGAGAUAACGAAAUGUGUAUCCUUUGCAAUUGCAUCAUAGAACUUUUCUUGACUCCACGCUUUAGAAAUCUAACCCCCAUAGGCUUGUUUCGCAAGGUAGAAGUUUUAGACUCUGAUUAGACUGGCAUAAAGCUAAUGAGUGGACAUAAUGAGAGGGUUUAUUCACUUACACAGAGGGUACAGAUAAAAGCUUUUACAGCCUAAAUUUGGCAAUACUUAUGUCACAAAGAAGAGUACAAUUUUCUUGGCAGGAUGUUAUUUAUUUAAAACAAAAUGAACAAUAUGUGAUAAUGUGAAUAAGACAUUAUCGGCAUUUAAAAGCAAUAUUGUUGUAAUAUGUUUGUUUCAGAUAUUGCCCACUACAGUAGAAGCCUUCUUUUUCAAAUCUGAAAUAAACUACUCAUACUCGCACUUGCUCUCUCUUUUUUAUCUGUUCAGUAUCCAAAGACUGUAGGAAAACAUGGGUGUUAGUGAUAUCAUCCAUGUUUUUGAAUAAAUAUUAAAAGUCUG